RNAcentral lists this ribosomal RNA (463 nucleotides) under uncultured bacterium. Its description in RNAcentral is "bacterial SSU rRNA". It matches the Rfam family "Bacterial small subunit ribosomal RNA", at positions 453 to 917 of the family's 1533-position model. The record is from RNAcentral.
GGUCUAUGCAUAGAUUGAUGAGAGUACCGUAUGAAUAAGCAUCGGCUAACUCCGUGCCAGCAGCCGCGGUAAUACGGAGGAUGCGAGCGUUAUCCGGAUUUAUUGGGUUUAAAGGGUGCGUAGGCGGCUUUGUAAGUCAGCGGUGAAAUUUUGCAGCUUAACUGUAAAAGCGCCGUUGAUACUGUGAAGCUAGGAUUUGGUUGCUGUGGGCGGAAUGUGUGGUGUAGCGGUGAAAUGCAUAGAGAUCACACAGAAUAUCGAUUGCGAAGGCAGCUCACAAAGCCAAUAUUGACGCUGAGGCACGAAAGUGUGGGGAUCAAACAGGAUUAGAUACCCUGGUAGUCCACACUGUAAACGAUGAUAACUCGCUGUCGGCGAUAGACCGUCGGUGGCCAAGCGAAAGCGAUAAGUUAUCCACCUGGGGAGUACGACCGCAAGGUUGAAACUCAAAGGAAUUGACGGA